Long non-coding RNA from Passer domesticus (house sparrow), 902 nucleotides. RefSeq lists it as uncharacterized. The transcript has 3 exons. The record is from RefSeq and is a predicted model, not a curated record. Lineage: Eukaryota; Metazoa; Chordata; Aves; Passeriformes; Passeridae.
CGUCAGCAGGCCUGAGAGAGGGCACAAACUCCUGCCCCAACUACUGCAUCAGCCCGUCUCUGUAGAAUGGAAGUGUGCUGAACUAAUACGUACCUUGUUAAGCCUGGAGCAGAGCCCGAGCUGGCUGCUGCUGGAAGAGCAGGUCAGAGAGGAGUGCUGGCAGAAGUGGAGCGUGCCAGCAGCCAAGCAACCUGACCUGCUGGCAGCAAGAUGGAGGAGCUGCACACAGGAAGAUAAGGGAGGGAGCAAUGAUCUCUUUGGGGAAGUGGGAUUUCAGCGUGGCUCCAAGCACAGAUGCACUGGCAGCUUGCAGCCAACAUGGGACAGCCUCAGAUGUUUGCCACAGUGAGGCCAGUUGGCUCUGGAAGUGGAUCCUUCUGACAACCACACACUUUUCCUAUUUCCACCCCACUUAGGUGGCUCACAAAUGGAUCAGACAUGUCCUGGUGCUUGUGUAAGGAAGGAACACAUUUAUAAGGGAAAAGGAAGAGUGUAACUGCACCAAUCAUGACUGACAUCAACUUAAGAGACAUGUACCUGGCUGCAUUCGUGAGCAUCACCUGGAGUUCAUCAGCAGAAGGUCACCUGGGCUUUUGCAGGGCUGCCUGUGCAUCACUUUGCUCCUCUGUGAAAUGGCAACAUUCAUAUGGAGAACAAAAGUAAUGUUGCUGUUCAGGGAAGAAACAUUUUAGACAUACCUCAGGAAUAUUAAAUGCAGGGGUAUUAUUUCACAAAAUUCUUUGCACAAAUGUUGUUUUAAGCUAUCAGCACCUAGUCAAUAAAUGAGGUUAUGUGAAGGUCCUAUUGAAAUGUAAGUUUGUGUGUGUAUGGUUAUGGAAGAAAUCCUGAAGGCAGGUUGACUCCAGAAAUAUAAAGUGCAGAAAUAAAUUUUAAAACUCUCU